RNAcentral lists this ribosomal RNA (253 nucleotides) under uncultured bacterium. Its description in RNAcentral is "partial 16S ribosomal RNA". It matches the Rfam family "Bacterial small subunit ribosomal RNA", at positions 524 to 776 of the family's 1533-position model. The record is from RNAcentral.
UACGUAGGUGGCAAGCGUUAUCCGGAUUUAUUGGGCGUAAAGAGAACGCAGGCGGUCUUUUAAGUCUGAUGUGAAAGCCUUCGGCUUAACCGGAGUAGUGCAUUGGAAACUGGGAGACUUGAGUGCAGAAGAGGAGAGUGGAACUCCAUGUGUAGCGGUGAAAUGCGUAGAUAUAUGGAAGAACACCAGUGGCGAAAGCAGCUCUCUGGUCUGUAACUGACGCUGAGGUUCGAAAGCGUGGGUAGCAAACAGG